UCCUACGGGAGGCAGCAGCAGGGAAUAUUGCACAAUGGGCGAAAGCCUGAUGCAGCGACGCCGCGUGCGGGAUGAAGGCCUUCGGGUUGUAAACCGCUUUCAGGAGGGACGAAAAUGACGGUACCUCCAGAAGAAGCCCCGGCCAACUACGUGCCAGCAGCCGCGGUAAU
This 170-nucleotide ribosomal RNA is filed under the name uncultured bacterium. Its description in RNAcentral is "partial 16S ribosomal RNA". It matches the Rfam family "Bacterial small subunit ribosomal RNA", at positions 337 to 524 of the family's 1533-position model. The record is from RNAcentral.